RNAcentral lists this transfer RNA (73 nucleotides) under candidate division TA06 bacterium ADurb.Bin417. RNAcentral describes it as "tRNA-Met". It matches the Rfam family "tRNA". Rfam says of the family: Transfer RNA (tRNA) molecules are approximately 80 nucleotides in length. Their secondary structure includes four short double-helical elements and three loops (D, anti-codon, and T loops). Further hydrogen bonds mediate the characteristic L-shaped molecular structure. tRNAs have two regions of fundamental functional importance: the anti-codon, which is responsible for specific mRNA codon recognition, and the 3' end, to which the tRNAs corresponding amino acid is attached (by aminoacyl-tRNA synthetases). tRNAs cope with the degeneracy of the genetic code in two manners: having more than one tRNA (with a specific anti-codon) for a particular amino acid; and 'wobble' base-pairing, i.e. permitting non-standard base-pairing at the 3rd anti-codon position. The record is from RNAcentral.
GGCGGUGUAGCUCAGGGGAAGAGCAGGCGGCUCAUACCCGCUAUGUCCGGGGUUCAAAUCCCUGCACCGCCAC